This is a non-coding RNA of Pelodiscus sinensis (Chinese soft-shelled turtle), 942 nucleotides long. The record is from RefSeq and is a predicted model, not a curated record. Lineage: Eukaryota; Metazoa; Chordata; Testudines; Trionychidae.
AUGAAAUCCAGACCCAAAUCCCCCCUGGUUUUGCAAAACUCAAACCAAACAAGGAGUAGAGACAGGCACAAGGUGGAUGACAACUCAUAAUAUUUUAUCUAUGUGUCUAAAAGCAAGAUCAUUUUUGGACAUCUACAAAUCAGUGCUGAAAUACAACAAGGGACAAGAUGGAGGUUUGAUGCCACUGGAAGCCCUCUCCAUUUGUGGUGUCGGUAUCUGCAGUUUCGCAGAUUAGCGGCGCACCUGCUCAAGCACAUGUGACAACCCGACGAUGCUUUUUCAGUGCACUCUGGCAAACAGGGCCAUACAGGAUCAGGAAGUUUCACUGGGAAUAUGACACUGUGACACACAAUCAUAGAUCUUAAUAUCAUGAGACUCACAAUUCAUCACUAUUGUAUGUGGACACUGCCAGAAACUAGAAGUGGGUGGGAAAAUGUGUUUGUUUUCUGUUGGGGCCACCUCUCGCCUCUGUCAUUUCCAAAUUUUGCCAUUUGUGGUGAUCUCAAGAAUGUACCCGCCCUCCUCCCUCCCCCCCACGAAUGAUGAGGGCUUCUAGUAUAUUGUUUUCUUCACUAUCUAGAACUGUUAAUGUCCAUUUCUGGCAGAACUGUCCUCAUGUGAUGCUUUCUUGUUUGUUCUCUCUCGGACAAUAUAAAUCACGAGGCAGUGUCUAGCAACCGUCAGGCUUUCUAUUGCCAGGAUGAAUUCCCACAGAAAAUACUCUCCCAAAAAUUAGGGUCAAAUUCUGAUUAGACUUUCUUUGUCCAAGACCUUAUGGGGUGAUGGUGAUAGAAUGAUCACAGGCAUGUUCUGCAUGGCUGUACGUGCUUCCAUGUAGGCUCCAAAAUGAGAUUGCUUCUUCUUGUAGCCAUACCCAGAAGGAGCCAGACAUGACUCAGGUAGUCUAUGCUGCAUGGCUAUUUUGGGACACCUGAGGUAUCC